UACGUAGGGGGCAAGCGUUGUCCGGAUUUAUUGGGCGUAAAGAGCGUGUAGGCGGUUUUACAGGUCCGCUGUGAAAACUCGAGGCUCAACCUCGAGCUGUCGGUGGAAACCGUAAGGCUAGAGUCCGGAAGAGGAGAGUGGAAUUCCUGGUGUAGCGGUGAAAUGCGCAGAUAUCAGGAAGAACACCGGUGGCGAAGGCGGCAUCCUGGACCGGUAUUGACGCUGAGGCGCGAAAGCUAGGGGAGCAAACGGG
RNAcentral lists this ribosomal RNA (253 nucleotides) under uncultured bacterium. Its description in RNAcentral is "partial 16S ribosomal RNA". It matches the Rfam family "Bacterial small subunit ribosomal RNA", at positions 524 to 776 of the family's 1533-position model. The record is from RNAcentral.